AUCCAAUCUUUCUAUUUUAGGGUUCCCGAUCCCCAAUUCCUCCGCGGGUUCCUGGGAUCAGGCUCCGGUCUCGCCUCCUUUUAUCAAGCAGCGGCUGCGGGUUCUUCUAGGAUCGAUCUAGAUGCUGGCCCCGGUCGCUCCCGUGGCGCCGCUGAGGAUCGUGAUAUGUUUUCUUGAUCUUCUCUGUUCGGCUGCUCCGCAUCUUCAUUACUAUGCCGGAGGCUGAGUGUGAUAAGAUCCUGGAAUUCCUAGGAAUCUCUCUUAUCUCCGCAUCCUCAUAGAUAACUUUGGCCACAUAUGCCAGGGAUUUACAAACCAAAUUUAUACCAGGAUAUAAAUUUUCUGGGUACCAUAUAUUUGUCACAAUAGCUGGAGCUCUUUUCCGGGUCAUAAAGGGUGUUAUUCUUGUGGUUCUCUUUUCAACAUCAGGCGCUUCAUUGUGGUAUUUUCUCUCCAAGUUGAUCCACAGGCCUUUGGUAAGUUGGAUAUGGCUGGAAAAGUUGAGAUUUUUCCAAGCAGAGAUUAGCGGAACGCUGGGAUAAGCUGCUUAACUGCAUGCUCAUUUUGAGGAGGUAACAGAGGGGAGGAGGAAAAAAAAAAUCUGUGAUAACUUAAACACCAUCGUCGCUAAUUGUCAAUUUCUGUGACAAGACCUGGAUUAUUAACCCCCUUGUGGUUCCCUCCAGGCUCUUCGUCAAUUUCCACAGCGAAUCGUAGGCUUUCGCAUUAAUCUCAACCCCCAAGAUGUGGUAAUCUUGUGCAUUUAAUUCUUCGUCCUAUUGUUAUUAUUAUUAUUUUUUAUUUUUGUUGAUAAAAUUUCUGUUAGAAACUCACU
Zingiber officinale is the source of this 835-nucleotide long non-coding RNA. RefSeq lists it as uncharacterized. NCBI's taxonomy places the organism in Eukaryota, Viridiplantae, Streptophyta, Magnoliopsida, Zingiberales, Zingiberaceae. The transcript is spliced from 3 exons. The record is from RefSeq and is a predicted model, not a curated record.